GCUGGUCUGAGAGGACGACCAGCCACACUGGAACUGAGACACGGUCCAGACUCCUACGGGAGGCAGCAGUGGGGAAUUUUGGACAAUGGGGGCAACCCUGAUCCAGCCAUUCCGCGUGAGUGAAGAAGGCCUUCGGGUUGUAAAGCUCUUUCAGCAGGAACGAACGGUGGCCACUAAUACUGGCUACUAAUGACGGUACCUGAAGAAGAAGCACCGGCUAACUACGUGCCAGCAGCCGCGGUAAUACGUAGGGGUGCGAGCGUUAAUCGGAAUUACUGGGCGUAAAGCGUGCGCAGGCGGUUCCAUAAGACAGAUGUGAAAAUCCCCGGGCUUAACCUGGGAACUGCGUUUGUGACUGUGGGGACUCGAGUGUGGCAGAGGGGGGUGGAAUUCCACGUGUAGCAGUGAAAUGCGUAGAGAUGUGGAGGAACACCGAUGGCGAAGGCAGCCCCCCUGGGUCAACACUGACGCUCAUGCACGAAAGCGUGGGGAGC
This 494-nucleotide ribosomal RNA is filed under the name uncultured bacterium. Its description in RNAcentral is "bacterial SSU rRNA". It matches the Rfam family "Bacterial small subunit ribosomal RNA", at positions 286 to 769 of the family's 1533-position model. The record is from RNAcentral.